GCCCGGAUGGCGGAAUGGUAGACGCAGCGGACUUAAAAUCCGUUGGCCGCAAGGCCGUGUGGGUUCGAGUCCCACUCUGGGCACCA
Molecule: transfer RNA, 86 nt
Filed under: Armatimonadota bacterium
Lineage: Bacteria; Bacillati; Armatimonadota
Description: Armatimonadetes bacterium (activated sludge metagenome) tRNA-Leu
Rfam family: tRNA
About the family: Transfer RNA (tRNA) molecules are approximately 80 nucleotides in length. Their secondary structure includes four short double-helical elements and three loops (D, anti-codon, and T loops).
Source: RNAcentral